CCUACGGGUGGCAGCAGUGAGGAAUAUUGGUCAAUGGGCGGGAGCCUGAACCAGCCAAGUCGCGUGAGGGACGACGGUCCUAUGGAUUGUAAACCUCUUUUGUCGGGGAACAAAGGCGCCCACGGGUGGGCGGAUGAGUGUACCCGAAGAAAAAGCAUCGGCUAACUCCGUGCCAGCAGCCGCGGUAAUACGGAGGAUGCGAGCGUUAUCCGGAUUUACUGGGCGUAAAGCGCUCGUAGGCGGUAUGUCAAGUCAAGGGUGAAAUCCCCGCGCUCAACGUGGGAACUGCCUUUGAAACUGGCAAACUGGAGUGUGUGAGAGGAUAGUGGAAUUCCAGGUGUAGGAGUGAAAUCCGUAGAUAUCUGGAGGAACAUCAGUGGCGAAGGCGACUAUCUGGCACAUAACUGACGCUGAGGAGCGAAAGCGUGGGUAGCAAACAGGAUUAGAUACCCUUGUAGUC
This 460-nucleotide ribosomal RNA is filed under the name uncultured bacterium. RNAcentral describes it as "partial 16S ribosomal RNA". It matches the Rfam family "Bacterial small subunit ribosomal RNA", at positions 338 to 795 of the family's 1533-position model. The record is from RNAcentral.